RNAcentral lists this ribosomal RNA (253 nucleotides) under uncultured bacterium. RNAcentral's name for it is "partial 16S ribosomal RNA". It matches the Rfam family "Bacterial small subunit ribosomal RNA", at positions 524 to 776 of the family's 1533-position model. The record is from RNAcentral.
GACGAACCGUGCGAACGUUGUUCGGAUUCACUGGGCUUAAAGGGCGCGUAGGCGGGCUGCCAAGUCAGGGGUGAAAUCUUUCGGCUCAACCGGAAAAGUGCCUCUGAUACUGGCGGCCUCGAGGGAGGUAGGGGCGUGUGGAACUUCCGGUGGAGCGGUGAAAUGCGUAGAUAUCGGAAGGAACGCCGGUGGCGAAAGCGGCUACCUGGACAAUUGCUGACGCUCAGGCACGAAAGCGUGGGGAGCAAAAGGG